This 1137-nucleotide long non-coding RNA is filed under the name Zonotrichia albicollis (white-throated sparrow). RNAcentral's name for it is "lncRNA (ENSZALG00000002968.1)". The record is from RNAcentral. Lineage: Eukaryota; Metazoa; Chordata; Aves; Passeriformes; Passerellidae.
AGGCUGUGUAUCCUCUACUGAAAACUGUGGCAAUUUUGGGCACUCAUCUGCUGGCUGGUAAAUUAUUUCAAAAAAGAAGCCUCAAACCCUACUUUUCCUACCCCUAACUUUGCUCAGUUAUUCAGAGGGGACAAACUCUUUCCAAGGAGACAGAAAGGCAAAGAUACCUACAGGAGAUAUCUGGAAAGGAGCUAUGAGCAUCCCACCACGUUCCCUCAUCUCCAGCAGAAGUGCUUCCACAGAGGCAUUCCUGAAAAGGCUUAGGAUGAGGACAUCAAGAGAACUUCUCAACUGUGGCAAUCAUGAUGGAAGAGGGCAUCUUGUUUCUGAGGAGCGUGGUGACCCAGGAGUGGCAGAACACAUGGAUAUACUCCCUGCUUUGACAGGGGCAGGGAAAUGCAGUGGUGAGGACUCAUUCACUGAGAUCCUGACUGCCAGCCACAUCAUGCUGGAGGUGGGCAAGGACCUGGCUUGGGACCUGGCUUUGUAUCACAAGCUGAAGCUGACAGCUGGGUUUUCCCUUUCUGCAGAAGGAAAGAGAGAAGGGAAAAGGUGUUGUGUCAUCUGAGAGAGCAUCUCUGUCAUCUCCAGCUGGGAGUGGUGUCCUUUGGCUGCUGCCAGUGUGCUGCAAACCAGCACUAGAGAUAAAGAUUGCCAGAGAGGUAAUUUAUUAGCAAUACAUCCUCAAUCAGGCCUCAGUGAAAUAUCUCUGAGAACCAAGUUGCCUGAAUUCCUCUGUCUACAUGGACUGUUCCUGCUCUUUCCAGAACUGAUGUUGUCAGGGGGGUGCUGUGAAGCACCCUGCGCCUCCCAGGUCUUUAUGCUGAGAAUGGCAAUGAUUUAAUGAAGAGGUGCAAAUGGAUAAGGGGUGAGGAGCACCAGAGAGAGAAUGUGCUUGCCUGUGCAUGACCUGCCAUCACCCUGCAGAUGUUCUGUGGCCUCCAUGAGGUAAUGAGCUUGGGAAGCCUACUCCUCUGCAGCUUCUGCUUAGAAGUUCGAUGUCUGUCCCUGUGAACUCUAGGGAAUAAGCCACCUCCUGGUAACAGUGGCAUCUAACAGGUGCCUUGCCUGGGGAUAGCACCUAUCUACAAAAGGCAACAUGAAAAUAAAAGAAAAAUGCCAGUUUGUGAUGUAUCA